UCAAGUUACUAAGAGCGUAGGGCGAAUGCCUAGGCACCAAGAGCCGAAGAAGGACGCGGUAAGCUGCGAAAAGCUACGGAUAGCUGCAAACAAGCUACGACCCGUAGAUAUCCGAAUGGGGGAACCCACCUGAGCAAACCUCAGGUAUCUUACUGUGAAUAAAUAGCAGAAAAGAAGGGAACCCGGAGAACUGAAACAUCUAAGUACCCGGAGGAAAAGAAAGUAACAACGAUUUCCCAAGUAGCGGCGAGCGAACGGGAAGAAGCCCGGUAGGGCGGAAGAAAGCGGAAUAGUCGAAUAGCAUUGGAAAAACUACCGACACAGCGUAAAAGGCGCGUAGACGAAAUUCCACCGAACCAAACUACCUUAACGAGUAGCAUGGAACACGAGAAAUUCUGUGUGAAAAUAGGAGGCCCACCUCCUAAGGCUAAAUACUACUUGGUGACCGAUAGUGGACCAGUACCGUGAGGGAAAGGUGAAAAGAACCCCGGAAGGGGAGUGAAAUAGAAUCUGAAACCCUAUGCUUACAAGCAGAGAAAGCACAUUAAAAGUGUAAUCUCGUACUUUUUGUAGAACGGGCCAGCGAGUUAUUGUAUAUAGCAAGAUUAAACCAUUAAGUGGUGGAGUCGAAGGGAAACCGAGUCUUAAUAGGGCGUAGAGUUAUAUAUAAUAGACCCGAAACCGGGUGAUCUAUCCAUGGGCAGGGUGAAAUAGCGGUAAAACGCUAUGGAGGCCCGAACCGGGUAUGGUUUAAAACAUAUCGGAUGACCUGUGGAUAGGGGUGAAAAGCCAAACGAACUCGGAUAUAGCUGGUUCUCCUCGAAAUAGCUUUAGGGCUAGCCUUUAGGAAAUUUAAUGGAGGUAGAGCACUGACUGGUUGCGGGGCGUGUAUACGCUACCAACACCUAUCAAACUCCGAAUACCAAGAAAAUGAUCCUAAGGAGUCAGACAUGGAGGGAUAAGCUCCCAUGUCAAAAGGGAAAGAGCCCAGACCACCGACUAAGGUCCCUAAAUACAGAUUAAGUGGUAAAGGAUGUGAAGUUACUGAGACAACCAGGAUGUUGGCUUAGAAGCAGCCAUACAUUUAAAGAGUGCGUAAUAGCUCACUGGUCAAGUGAUUUUGCGCCAAAGAUUUCCGGGGCUAAAUCUGAUACCGAAGUCGUGGACUUGGAUAACAAGUGGUAGAGGAGCAUUGUAUGAAGGCAGAAGCAGUACCGAAAGGAGCUGUGGACAUCAUAGAAGAGAGAAUGCUGGCAUAAGUAGCGAAAAGGCGAGUGAGAAUCUCGCCCGUCGAAAACCUAAGGAUUCCUGGGCAAGGCUCGUCCCCCCAGGGUAAGUCGGGACCUAAGGCCAGGCUGAAAAGCGUAGCCGAUGGACAACAGGUUGAAAUUCCUGUACUAUCUUAAAUCGCAACUAGCAACGUGGGGACGCAGGAGGAUAGCCUUACCGUACAACAAGGAAAAGUACGGCUAAAUAACAAGCCAGAGCCUACAGGGAAAACCGUAGACUUGCUAAAGUAAGUUAUGAUGGGGAUCGAAAAACAAGUAGAGAAGAAGCACUAUUCACACUGCCAAGAAAAACCACUAGCGAGAUGAAAAGAUACCCGUACCGCAAACCGACACAGGUAGGAAAGGAGAGAAUCCUAAGACGCGCGGAAGAACCUUUGUUAAGGAACUCGGCAAAAUGACCCCGUAAGUUAGCGAGAAGGGGAGCCAGAGCGAUCUGGCCGCAGUGAAUAGGCCCAAGCGACUGUUUACCAAAAACACAAGUUUCUGCUAAGUCGAAAGACGACGUAUAGGAGCUGACACCUGCCCGGUGCUGGAAGGUUAAGGGGAAAUGUUAGCAGGUAGCGAAGCAUAGAACUUAAGCCCCAGUAAACGGCGGCCGUAACUAUAACGGUCCUAAGGUAGCGAAAUUCCUUGUCGGGUAAGUUCCGACCCGCACGAAAGGUGUAACGAUUUGGGCACUGUCUCAACAAAGGAUCCGGUGAAAUUG
This 1995-nucleotide ribosomal RNA is filed under the name human gut metagenome. Its description in RNAcentral is "bacterial LSU rRNA". It matches the Rfam family "Bacterial large subunit ribosomal RNA", at positions 3 to 2044 of the family's 2925-position model. The record is from RNAcentral.